Molecule: ribosomal RNA, 496 nt
Filed under: uncultured Flavobacterium sp.
Lineage: Bacteria; Pseudomonadati; Bacteroidota; Flavobacteriia; Flavobacteriales; Flavobacteriaceae
Description: bacterial SSU rRNA
Rfam family: Bacterial small subunit ribosomal RNA
Source: RNAcentral
AGCCCAGAGAAAUUUGGAUUAAUACCUCAUAGCAUAGCAAUCUCGCAUGAGAUCACUAUUAAAGUCACAACGGUAAAAGAUGAGCAUGCGUCCCAUUAGCUAGUUGGUAAGGUAACGGCUUACCAAGGCUACGAUGGGUAGGGGUCCUGAGAGGGAGAUCCCCCACACUGGUACUGAGACACGGACCAGACUCCUACGGGAGGCAGCAGUGAGGAAUAUUGGACAAUGGGCGCAAGCCUGAUCCAGCCAUGCCGCGUGCAGGAUGACGGUCCUAUGGAUUGUAAACUGCUUUUGUACGAGAAGAAACACUGCUUCGUGAAGCAGCUUGACGGUAUCGUAAGAAUAAGGAUCGGCUAACUCCGUGCCAGCAGCCGCGGUAAUACGGAGGAUCCAAGCGUUAUCCGGAAUCAUUGGGUUUAAAGGGUCCGUAGGCGGUUUAGUAAGUCAGUGGUGAAAGCCCAUCGCUCAACGGUGGAACGGCCAUUGAUACUGCUGA